Molecule: ribosomal RNA, 1506 nt
Filed under: metagenome
Description: bacterial SSU rRNA
Rfam family: Bacterial small subunit ribosomal RNA
Source: RNAcentral
UGUGGAUUAGGCAUGCAAGUCGAACGAGAAUCCAUCGAUUCAAUCUUUCGGGAGAGAAACGGUGGAGGAGAGUGGCGAAAGGGUGAGUAACGCGUGAGCAAUCUGCCCUUGAGUCUGGAAUAACCUACCGAAAGGUGGGCUAAUGCCGGAUGUGGUUCCCCGUUUCAAUUCGGGGUAAUUAAAGGUGGGGAUCCUUCGGGACCUGCCGCUCGAGGAGGGGCUCGCGUCCUAUCAGCUUGUUGGUGAGGUAAUGGCUCACCAAGGCUUACGGGUAGCUGGUCUGAGAGGAUGGUCAGCCACACUGGGACUGAGACACUGCCCAGACUCCUACGGGAGGCUGCAGUCGAGAAUCAUUCGCAAUGCGCGAAAGCGUGACGAUGCGACGCUGCGUGGAGGAUGACGGCCUUCGGGUUGUAAACUCCUGUCAUCCGGGAGCAACCACCCCUGUGUCAAUACCACAGGGGCCUGAUAGUACCGGAAGAGGAAGCCACGGCUAACUCUGUGCCAGCAGCCGCGGUAACACAGAGGUGGCGAGCGUUGUUCGGAUUUACUGGGCGUAAAGGGUGAGUAGGUGGACUCGUAUGUCGGAUGUGAAAUGUCACCGUUCAACGGUGAAAGGUCGUUCGAAACUGCGAGUCUAGAGUGCAGGAGAGGAAAGCGGAAUUCUUGGUGUAGCGGUGGAAUGCGUUGAUAUCAAGAGGAACACCGGUGGCGAAGGCGGCUUUCUGGAAUGCUACUGACGCUGAGUCACGAAAGUUGGGGGAGUGAACAGGAUUAGAUACCCUGGUAAUCCCAACCGUAAACGUUGUCCACUUGGUGUGGGGAGAUUUGACCCUCCCCGUGCCGGAGCUAACGCGUUAAGUGGACCGCCUGGGGAGUACGGCCGCAAGGCUAAAACUCAAAGAAAUUGACGGGGGCCCGCACAAGCGGAGGAGCAUGUGGCUUAAUUCGAUGCAACGCGAAGAACCUUACCAGGGCUUGACAUGUAGCUGCACGCCCGCCGAAAGGUGGGAAGCCUUCGAGGGUGCUACACAGGUGCUGCAUGGCUGUCGUCAGUUCGUGCCGUGAGGUGUUGGGUUAAGUCCCGCAACGAACGCAACCCCUGUGUUUAGUUGCCACUUUCGGUGAUGAGCCGAGAAGCACUCUAAACAGACCGCCCGUGCAAGCGGGAGGAAGGUGGGGAUGACGUCAAGUCCGUAUGGCCUUUAUGCCCUGGGCUGCACACGUGCUACAAUGGCUGGUACAAUGGGACGCAAGACCGCGAGGUGGAGCAAAUCCCCAAAACCAGCCCCAGUUCGGAUUGGAGUCUGCAAUUCGACUCCAUGAAGUUGGAUUCGCUAGUAACGGCGUAUCAGCUACGACGCCGUGAAUACGUUCCCGGGCCUUGUACACACCGCCCGUCACAUCACAAAAGCUUUCUGCACCCGAAGUCGCUAUACCAGCCAUUUAUUUGGAGGAAGGCGCCGAAGGUGUGGGGAGUGAUUGGGAUGAAGUCGUAACAAGGUA